This 486-nucleotide ribosomal RNA is filed under the name uncultured bacterium. Its description in RNAcentral is "partial 16S ribosomal RNA". It matches the Rfam family "Bacterial small subunit ribosomal RNA", at positions 28 to 502 of the family's 1533-position model. The record is from RNAcentral.
GAUGAACGCUGGCUACAGGCUUAACACAUGCAAGUCGAGGGGAAACGACGGGGAAGCUUCCUUCCCCGUGCGUCGACCGGCGCACGGGUGAGUAACGCGUAUCCACCCCGCCUCUGACUGAGGGAUAACUCGUCGAAAGUCGGCCUAAUACCUCACGGCAUCGUCUGCGGGCAUCCAACGACGGUUAAAGAUUUCAUCGGUCAGGGAUGGGGAUGCGUCUGAUUAGCUUGUUGGCGGGGUAACGGCCCACCAAGGCUACGAGCAGUAGGGGUUGUGAGAGGAAGGUCCCACACAUUGGAACUGAGACACGGUCCAAACUCCUACGGGAGGCAGCAGUGAGGAAUAUUGGUCAAUGGGCGGGAGCCUGAACCAGCCAAGUAGCGAGCAGGAUGACGGCCAUAUGGGUUGUAAACUGCUUUGAUGCGGGGAUAAAGUGAGGGACGUGUCUUGCAUUGCAGGUACCGCAUGAAUAAGGACCGGCUAAUU